GCUGAGGCAGGAGGAUUGCUUGAUCCUGGUCCUGGUGGCACGUGCCUACUCCGGAGGCUGAGGCAGGAGGGUUGCUCGAGCCUGGGAGUUCUGGGCUGUAGUGUGUUAGGCUGACUGGGUGUUCGCACUGAGUUCAGCAUCAAUAUGGUGACCUCCUAGGAGCAGGGGACCACCAAGUUGCCUAAGGAGGGGUGAACCGGUCCAGGUUGGAAACGGAGCAGGUCAAAACUCCUGUGGUGAUCAAAAAGGACAGUUGCAGACAUGGACCGGUCCAGGUUGGAAACGGAGCAGGUCAAAACUCCU
Non-coding RNA from Nomascus leucogenys (northern white-cheeked gibbon), 303 nucleotides. It matches the Rfam family "Metazoan signal recognition particle RNA". Rfam says of the family: The signal recognition particle (SRP) is a universally conserved ribonucleoprotein. It is involved in the co-translational targeting of proteins to membranes. The record is from Rfam. NCBI's taxonomy places the organism in Eukaryota, Metazoa, Chordata, Mammalia, Primates, Hylobatidae.